GAUGAAGAACGUAGCGAAAUGCGAUAAGUAAUGUGAAUUGCAGAAUUCAGUGAAUCAUCGAAUCUUUGAACGCACCUUGCGCCCUUUGGCUAUUCCGAAGGGCAUGCCUGUUUGAGUAUCAUGAACACCUCAACUCUCAUGGUUUGCCAUGAUGAGCUUGGACUUUGGGGGUCUUGCCGGCCUAUGGGUCGGCUCCUCUCAAAUUAAUCAGCUUGCCAGUGUUUGGUGGCAUCACAGGUGUGAUAACUAUCUACGCUUGUGGUUUUCCAUCAGGUAACCUUCAGUGAUGGAGGUUCGCUGGGGCUCAUAAAUGUCUCUCCUCAGGGAGGACAGCUUUUUUGAACGUUUGAUCUCAAAUCAGGUAGGACUACCCGCUGAACUUAAGCAUAUCAAUAAGCGGAGGA
RNAcentral lists this unclassified non-coding RNA (404 nucleotides) under soil metagenome. Its description in RNAcentral is "partial contains 5.8S ribosomal RNA, internal transcribed spacer 2, and large subunit ribosomal RNA". The stretch from base 1 to 121 matches the Rfam family "5.8S ribosomal RNA", at positions 35 to 154 of the family's 154-position model. The record is from RNAcentral.